CGCUAUUCUGGAGUUUCCUGUAAUUAGAAGGCGGUUGGAAUCCGUCACUGUCCCGCAACUGUGUUCCUCAUUGAGGUAAGUCAGACCUGAGAGCAGGAAAAAAUAAACCAUA
RNAcentral lists this non-coding RNA (112 nucleotides) under marine actinobacterium K362. Lineage: Bacteria; Bacillati; Actinomycetota; Actinomycetes. The record is from RNAcentral.